AGAGCGAACGCUGGCGGCAGGCCUAAUACAUGCAAGUCGAGCGGGUGUAGCAAUACACCAGCGGCAGACGGGAGAGUAACACGUGGGAACGUGCCCUUCAGUUCGGAACAACCCAGGGAAACUUGGGCUAAUACCGGAUACGUCCGUAAGGAGAAAGAUUUAUCGCUGAAGGAUCGGCCCGCGUCUGAUUAGCUUGUUGGUGGGGUAAUGGCUCACCAAGGCGACGAUCAGUAGCUGGUCUGAGAGGAUGAUCAGCCUCACUGGGACUGAGACACGGCCCAGACUCCUACGGGAGGCAGCAGUAGGGAAUAUUGGACAAUGGGCGCAAGCCUGAUCCAGCCAUGCCGCGUGGGUGAUGAAGGCCCUAGGGUUGUAAAGUCCUUUAACGGGAAGAUAAUGACGGUACCCGUAGAAUAAGCCCCGGCUAACUUCGCGCCAGCAGCCGC
Molecule: ribosomal RNA, 446 nt
Filed under: uncultured bacterium
Lineage: Bacteria
Description: SSU rRNA
Rfam family: Bacterial small subunit ribosomal RNA
Source: RNAcentral